This 443-nucleotide ribosomal RNA is filed under the name uncultured bacterium. Its description in RNAcentral is "partial 16S ribosomal RNA". It matches the Rfam family "Bacterial small subunit ribosomal RNA", at positions 338 to 795 of the family's 1533-position model. The record is from RNAcentral.
CCUACGGGAGGCAGCAGUGGGGAAUAUUGGGCAAUGGGCGCAAGCCUGACCCAGCAACGCCGCGUGAAGGAAGAAGGCUUUCGGGUUGUAAACUUCUUUUCUCAGGGACGAAGAAAGUGACGGUACCUGAGGAAUAAGCCACGGCUAACUACGUGCCAGCAGCCGCGGUAAUACGUAGGUGGCAAGCGUUAUCCGGAUUUAUUGGGUGUAAAGGGCGUGUAGGCGGGAGCGCAAGUCAGAUGUGAAAACUCAGGGCUCAACCCUGAGCCUGCAUUUGAAACUGUGUUUCUUGAGUGCUGGGGAGGCAGUCGGAAUUCGGUGUGUAGCGGUGAAAUGCGUAGAUAUACGGAGGAACACCAGUGGCGAAGGCGGAUUGCUGGACAGUAACUGACGCUGAGGCGCGAAGGCGUGGGGAGCAAACAGGAUUAGAUACCCUGGUAGUC